Molecule: ribosomal RNA, 482 nt
Filed under: uncultured bacterium
Lineage: Bacteria
Description: partial 16S ribosomal RNA
Rfam family: Bacterial small subunit ribosomal RNA
Source: RNAcentral
AUUGAACGCUGGCGGCAUGCCUUACACAUGCAAGUCGAACGGUAACGGGCCUUCGGGUGCCGACGAGUGGCGAACGGGUGAGUAAUACAUCGGAACGUGCCCGAUCGUGGGGGAUAACGAGGCGAAAGCUUUGCUAAUACCGCAUACGAUCUACGGAUGAAAGCAGGGGACCGUAAGGCCUUGCGCGGACGGAGCGGCCGAUGGCAGAUUAGGUAGUUGGUGGGAUAAAAGCUUACCAAGCCGACGAUCUGUAGCUGGUCUGAGAGGAUGAUCAGCCACACUGGGACUGAGACACGGCCCAGACUCCUACGGGAGGCAGCAGUGGGGAAUUUUGGACAAUGGGCGCAAGCCUGAUCCAGCCAUGCCGCGUGCAGGAUGAAGGCCUUCGGGUUGUAAACUGCUUUUGUACGGAACGAAAAGCCUUCCUUUAAUACAGGAGGGUCAUGACGGUACCGUAAGAAUAAGCACCGGCUAACUACGUG